Molecule: transfer RNA, 74 nt
Filed under: Bacilli bacterium
Lineage: Bacteria; Bacillati; Bacillota; Bacilli
Description: tRNA-Gln
Rfam family: tRNA
About the family: Transfer RNA (tRNA) molecules are approximately 80 nucleotides in length. Their secondary structure includes four short double-helical elements and three loops (D, anti-codon, and T loops).
Source: RNAcentral
UGAAGUUUCGUAUAACGGUAGUACACCAGUUUUUGGAUCUGGUAGCAGGAGUUCGAUUCUCCUAACUUCAACCA